This 468-nucleotide ribosomal RNA is filed under the name uncultured bacterium. RNAcentral describes it as "partial 16S ribosomal RNA". It matches the Rfam family "Bacterial small subunit ribosomal RNA", at positions 28 to 507 of the family's 1533-position model. The record is from RNAcentral.
GACGAACGCUGGCGGCGUGCUUAACACAUGCAAGUCGAACGGAAAGGCCCUGCUUUUGUGGGGUGCUCGAGUGGCGAACGGGUGAGUAACACGUGAGUAACCUGCCCUUGACUUUGGGAUAACUUCAGGAAACUGGGGCUAAUACCGGAUAGGAGCUCCUGCUGCAUGGUGGGGGUUGGAAAGUUUCGGCGGUUGGGGAUGGACUCGCGGCUUAUCAGCUUGUUGGUGGGGUAGUGGCUUACCAAGGCUUUGACGGGUAGCCGGCCUGAGAGGGUGACCGGCCACAUUGGGACUGAGAGAGGGCACAGACUCCUACGGGAGGCAGCAGUGGGGAGUAUUGCACAAUGGGCGGAAGCCUGAUGCAGCAGCGCCGCGUGCGGGAUGACGGCCUUCGGGUUGUAAACCGCUUUCGCCUGUGACGAAGCGUGAGUGACGGUAAUGGGUAAAGAAGCACCGGCUAACUACGUG